UUAAGCGACUAAGCGUACACGGUGGAUGCCUAGGCAAUCAGAGGCGAUGAAGGACGUGCUAAUCUGCGAUAAGCGUCGGUAAGGUGAUAUGAACCGUUACAACCGACGAUUUCCGAAUGGGGAAACCCAGUGCAAUUCGUUGCACUAUCGUUUGAUGAAUACAUAGUCAAACGAAGCGAACCGGGGGAACUGAAACAUCUCAGUACCCCGAGGAAAAGAAAUCAACCGAGAUUCCCCUAGUAGCGGCGAGCGAACGGGGAGCAGCCCAGAGUCUUAAUCAGCAUUAGCAUCAGGAGAACGGUCUGGAAAGUCCGGCAGUAAAGGGUGAUAGCCCCGUAUCCGAAGGUGUUAGUGUUGUGAACUCGACGAGUAGGGCGGGACACGUGUUAUCCUGUCUGAAUAUGGGGGGACCAUCCUCCAAGGCUAAAUACUCCUGAUUGACCGAUAGUGAACCAGUACCGUGAGGGAAAGGCGAAAAGAACCCCGGCGAGGGGAGUGAAAUAGAACCUGAAACCGUGUACGUACAAGCAGUGGGAGCCUUGAUUUAUCAGGGUGACUGCGUACCUUUUGUAUAAUGGGUCAGCGACUUAUAUUCUGUAGCAAGGUUAACCGUAUAGGGGAGCCGUAGGGAAACCGAGUCUUAACUGGGCGAAUAAGUUGCAGGGUAUAGACCCGAAACCCGGUGAUCUAGCCAUGGGCAGGUUGAAGGUUGGGUAACACUAACUGGAGGACCGAACCGACUAAUGUUGAAAAAUUAGCGGAUGACUUGUGGCUGGGGGUGAAAGGCCAAUCAAACCGGGAGAUAGCUGGUUCUCCCCGAAAGCUAUUUAGGUAGCGCCUCGUGAACUCAUCUUCGGGGGUAGAGCACUGUUUCGACUAGGGGGUCAUCCCGACUUACCAACUCGAUGCAAACUACGAAUACCGAAGAAUGUUAUCACGGGAGACACACGGCGGGUGCUAACGUUCGUCGUGAAGAGGGAAACAACCCAGACCGCCAGCUAAGGUCCCAAAGUCAUAGUUAAGUGGGAAACGAAGUGGGAAGGCUCAGACAGCCAGGAUGUUGGCUUAGAAGCAGCCAUCAUUUAAAGAAAGCGUAAUAGCUCACUGGUCGAGUCGGCCUGCGCGGAAGAUGUAACGGGGCUAAACUAUGCACCGAAGCUGCGGCAGCGAUAUUUAGAUAUUGUUGGGUAGGGGAGCGUUCUGUAAGCCUGUGAAGGUGUGCUGUGAGGCAUGCUGGAGGUAUCAGAAGUGCGAAUGCUGACAUAAGUAACGAUAAUGCGGGUGAAAAACCCGCACGCCGGAAGACCAAGGGUUCCUGUCCAACGUUAAUCGGGGCAGGGUGAGUCGACCCCUAAGGCGAGGCAGAAAUGCGUAGUCGAUGGGAAACGGGUUAAUAUUCCCGUACUGGUGAUAAUUGCGAUGGGGGGACGGAGAAGGCUAGGCUAUCCGGGCGACGGUUGUCCCGGUUUAAGGAUGUAGGCAGGUGAAUUAGGCAAAUCCGGUUCACUAUAUGCUGAGGUCCGAUGACGAGUCACUACGGUGAUGAAGUAGCUCAUGCCCCGCUUCCAGGAAAAGCCUCUAAGCUCUAGAUUAUCAUUAAUCGUACCCCAAACCGACACAGGUGGUCAGGUAGAGAAUACUCAGGCGCUUGAGAGAACUCGGGUGAAGGAACUAGGCAAAAUGGUGCCGUAACUUCGGGAGAAGGCACGCUGGCAUUAGGUGAAGUGAUUUACUCAUGGAGCUGAAGCCAGUCGCAGAUACCAGCUGGCUGCAACUGUUUAUUAAAAACACAGCACUGUGCAAACACGAAAGUGGACGUAUACGGUGUGACGCCUGCCCGGUGCUGGAAGGUUAAUUGAUGGGGUUAUCCGUAAGGAGAAGCUCUUGAUCGAAGCCCCAGUAAACGGCGGCCGUAACUAUAACGGUCCUAAGGUAGCGAAAUUCCUUGUCGGGUAAGUUCCGACCUGCACGAAUGGCGUAAUGAUGGCCAGGCUGUCUCCACCCGAGACUCAGUGAAAUUGAACUCGCUGUGAAGAUGCAGUGUACCCGCGGCAAGACGGAAAGACCCCGUGAACCUUUACUAUAGCUUGACACUGAACAUUGAGCCUUGAUGUGUAGGAUAGGUGGGAGGCUUCGAAGCGUGGACGCCAGUCUGCGUGGAGCCAACCUUGAAAUACCACCCUUUAAUGUUUGAUGUUCUAACGUUGCCCCAUUAUCUGGGGUGCGGACAGUGUCUGGUGGGUAGUUUGACUGGGGCGGUCUCCUCCCAAAGAGUAACGGAGGAGCACGAAGGUUGGCUAAGCAUGGUCGGACAUCAUGCGGUUAGUGCAAAGGCAUAAGCCAGCUUGACUGCGAGAGUGACGGCUCGAGCAGGUACGAAAGUAGGUCUUAGUGAUCCGGUGGUUCUGAAUGGAAGGGCCAUCGCUCAACGGAUAAAAGGUACUCCGGGGAUAACAGGCUGAUACCGCCCAAGAGUUCAUAUCGACGGCGGUGUUUGGCACCUCGAUGUCGGCUCAUCACAUCCUGGGGCUGAAGUAGGUCCCAAGGGUACGGCUGUUCGCCGUUUAAAGUGGUACGCGAGCUGGGUUUAGAACGUCGUGAGACAGUUCGGUCCCUAUCUGCCGUGGGCGUUGGAAGAUUGAAAGGGGCUGCUCCUAGUACGAGAGGACCGGAGUGGACGCACCACUGGUGUUCGGGUUGUCAUGCCAAUGGCAUUGCCCGGUAGCUAAGUGCGGAAGAGAUAACCGCUGAAAGCAUCUAAGCGGGAAACUUGCCUUGAGAUGAGUCUUCCCUGACUCUUUAAGGGUCCUAAAGGAACGUUUAAGACUAAGACGUUGAUAGGUUGGGUGUGUAAGCGUAGCGAUACGUUGAGCUAACCAAUACUAAUGAACCGUGAGGCUUAACCUG
Molecule: ribosomal RNA, 2907 nt
Filed under: Providencia rettgeri
Lineage: Bacteria; Pseudomonadati; Pseudomonadota; Gammaproteobacteria; Enterobacterales; Morganellaceae
Description: 23S ribosomal RNA
Rfam family: Bacterial large subunit ribosomal RNA
Source: RNAcentral